CAGUCGCCGCGGUAAUACGUAGGCGGCAAGCGUUGUCCGGAAUUAUUGGGCGUAAAGGGAGCGCAGGUGGGACGGUAAGUCCGUCUUAAAAGGCAGGGGCUCAGCCCCUGUAAGGGAUGGAAACUAUCGAUCUUGAGUGCCGGAGAGGAAAGCGGAAUUCCCAGUGUAGCGGUGAAAUGCGUAGAUAUUGGGAAGAACACCAGUGGCGAAGGCGGCUUUCUGGACGGCAACUGACACUGAGGCUCGAAAGCCAGGGGAGCGAACGGGAUUAGAUACCCCCGUAGUCCCUGUCUCUUAUACA
RNAcentral lists this ribosomal RNA (301 nucleotides) under uncultured bacterium. RNAcentral's name for it is "partial 16S ribosomal RNA". It matches the Rfam family "Bacterial small subunit ribosomal RNA", at positions 509 to 809 of the family's 1533-position model. The record is from RNAcentral.